Molecule: long non-coding RNA, 217 nt
Filed under: Nicotiana benthamiana
Lineage: Eukaryota; Viridiplantae; Streptophyta; Magnoliopsida; Solanales; Solanaceae
Description: long non-coding RNA (NBEN_LNC000547)
Source: RNAcentral
CCUGAGUAUCAUCAGGUGUUUCAACAGGAACUGAUUCGACUUCCUCUCCGACGUCUUCUUCAAUUGGUGGAACAUGUUGAUCAUUUUCAACAUGUCUCUGCACAGCAUCUAAAGGGACCGCAUCCAAAUCCAUUAGCCCAUCACUUAACUCCUAUGAUGAUGUCUUUUCUGCCUUGUCAAUGUCUUCAAUGGUUUGAUCUUCCAUGAAGACUACAUC